This 447-nucleotide ribosomal RNA is filed under the name uncultured bacterium. RNAcentral's name for it is "partial 16S ribosomal RNA". It matches the Rfam family "Bacterial small subunit ribosomal RNA", at positions 328 to 792 of the family's 1533-position model. The record is from RNAcentral.
UUUCCAGACUCCUACGGGAGGCAGCAGUGGGGAAUAUUGCACAAUGGGGGAAACCCUGAUGCAGCGACGCCGCGUGAAGGAAGAAGUCUUUCGGUAUGUAAACUUCUAUCAGCAGGGAAGAAAAUGACGGUACCUGACUAAGAAGCCCUGGCUAACUACGUGCCAGCAGCCGCGGUAAUACGUAGGGGGCAAGCGUUAUCCGGAUUUACUGGGUGUAAAGGGAGCGUAGGCGGUGAUGCAAGUCAGAAGUGAAAGCCCGCAGCUCAACUGCGGGACUGCUUUUGAAACUGUAUGACUAGAUUGCAGGAGAGGUAAGUGGAAUUCCUAGUGUAGCGGUGAAAUGCGUAGAUAUUAGGAGGAACACCAGUGGCGAAGGCGGCUUACUGGACUGUAAAUGACGCUGAGGCUCGAAAGCGUGGGGAGCAAACAGGAUUAGAUACCCUAGUA